UCAGGCCUAACACAUGCAAGUCGAGCGGGGUUUUCGGACCCAGCGGCGGACGGGUGAGUAAUGCGUAGGAAGCUACCCGACAGAGGGGGAUACCAGUUGGAAACGACUGUUAAUACCGCAUAAUGUCUACGGACCAAAGUGUGGGACCUUCGGGCCACAUGCUGUCGGAUGCGCCUACGUGGGAUUAGCUAGUUGGUGAGGUAAUGGCUCACCAAGGCGACGAUCCCUAGCUGGUUUGAGAGGAUGAUCAGCCACACUGGAACUGAGACACGGUCCAGACUCCUACGGGAGGCAGCAGUGGGGAAUAUUGGACAAUGGGCGCAAGCCUGAUCCAGAAGUGCCGCGUGUGUGAAGAAGGCCUUCGGGUGUAAAUAAAUGUCAGCGAGGAGGAAGGGUUGUGUG
RNAcentral lists this ribosomal RNA (402 nucleotides) under uncultured bacterium. RNAcentral describes it as "bacterial SSU rRNA". It matches the Rfam family "Bacterial small subunit ribosomal RNA", at positions 42 to 459 of the family's 1533-position model. The record is from RNAcentral.